This 1694-nucleotide long non-coding RNA is filed under the name Triticum aestivum (bread wheat). RNAcentral describes it as "long non-coding RNA (TAES_LNC001163)". The record is from RNAcentral. Lineage: Eukaryota; Viridiplantae; Streptophyta; Magnoliopsida; Poales; Poaceae.
AAGUGAACAAAAAAGAAUAUACUCACGAGAGGAAGAAAUCAUAUAUUUGAUAAAAUUGUUGGAUUCCAAUAAUGGAUAUUACACGAGGACAUAGUCCAAAUGUGAUACGUAAUCUAAAUAUUUUCUUGACAACGAAACUCAAACUGAAGGCAUCCAUCAACAUCCGUACAACUUAUCAAAAACUUAACCGAGGAACAUCAUCCAACAAGAACAUCCCCUACAACUUUAUUAAAAUGGAAGGCCUCCAUCAUCAUCAUCAUCAUCAUCACCAUCAUCAUCAUCAUCAUCAUGAAUGAACUCCUAAAGCUUAGCUUGUAAAUAUCUGAUUUGUGAUUUAAGUUCCUGUCGUCGUACAACAGAAAUUAACAAUUAUAUUGUUUUUCAACAAUGCAAGAAUCCUCCUCCAAGCCUUCGCAACAUAAUAGGCAGAAUUUUCUUCAAACAUUGUAAAAAAGGCUAGUAAGGUUAUUCUACAAUGCACACUAGUCAUCAACCCAAUAAUGGGCUAACAUUUUUGUGUUUCCACCAAUUGUUAGCUAGAAAUAACUACUAUCAUGAUCUGAAAUUGUUAGGUCAGAUGUGACAUCAGAAUGGUUUCUCCUUAUGCUAUUUAUCUUUAAGAAAAAGCAGAAAUUAGAGAGAAAUUAUGUAUGAUUGGAGACGAGAUUCCUCCCCAACUGAUGACGUUGGACAAAAGAGGUGCUGCAGAAUAAGAAUACACUUAUCAAGACGCCUGGUCAGUACAAAGUCAUGAUACAAUCAAACAAAAAAACACCCAAAACAAAUCAUGACUAAAAUUUGAUAGUGAAUAGUUAGCAAAACACACUUGAUGAGAAAUUCAUACAUGUAGAAAUUGUAUAAGACCAUCACAAAAUAUUCAGCUUAUAUGAGUGAUGCUUGCAUCAAAUUUCUUAAUGUAUAUAUACAACUGUAUACUCAACUCUAGAUACAUAUCUAAUAUGUCGAAUAUUUUAUACGAUAGGAUUUCUCUAAGCCAUCCAGUAUGUUUUACCAUGUACAUUGUCUCUCUUUUUUUGCCUAAAGUAUACACAGUCAGCACCCUAUAAAUUCCUAGUGUAUAUAUACCAAAGGACACAUCAAGGAGUUUAAUUCUGUUAUCACAUGGUAGAAAACUCUAGUACAAUAAUGGGAUAACAUGCUAACUUGUUGGAGAAAAAAGAUAGAUGCAAUCGACAUGUGCAAACUUCUUUCCAUGAAUACUUCUGCAUGGCACAAAUAAAACUUUGACCAGUGCUUGGUAAGGCUAGAAGGAUUUUCUUGCCACCACAUUAACAUGCAUGUGUGUUUGUUGCUAGCGCUGGCUAGGAACUUAAUUAACAAAGCCAUAAUUUUUUUUUUGGCUAACCUUCUACAUGACCUAUUAGAUAAAUUAUUGUUGUGUUUGUCCUUCCUCAAUAACAGCCUUCUUAGAGCCUCAAAACAAUGUUCUUCAUUUGUUAAGCCAUGACCAUGUCAACCAGCUGCUCAUUGGCACACUCAUUUUCAUGAUGGUGGCCUUGGUCUGAUAGCGUCAAUAUGAUAAUACAAAACACUAAGUACGCCUGAUGGCACAUAUAUUUUCACGUCCAACGAAACAAAUUAUUAAGAAACUGACCUUAUCAGAUCAAAUAUGAGGUAGAAUUUGUAAUUGUUAUGUCCAUCAUCUCCUCUCCUUGCAUGCCACAUACCUGCAC